This is a long non-coding RNA of Sinocyclocheilus rhinocerous, 344 nucleotides long. RefSeq lists it as uncharacterized. The record is from RefSeq and is a predicted model, not a curated record. The transcript is spliced from 3 exons. Lineage: Eukaryota; Metazoa; Chordata; Actinopteri; Cypriniformes; Cyprinidae.
GUCCACGCAGUGAAGCCGGGUCAAUGUCCCAUACCGGAGAUGAUUCCACUGUGUGCUAAAAGCUGUUUCCAUGAUGGCCAGUGUCCUGCCACACAGAAAUGUUGCCCAACCACCGCUGGCUUCGCAUGCAGUGAACCACAUUGUCAGGGAAGAGGUCAGGCAAGUUGUCAAGAAAGCAGCCAGGGCAGCGGCCAGGGCAGCGGUAAUGGCCAGGGUAGCGGCCAGGGCCAGGGUAGCGGUCAGGAAAGCAGCCAGGGUAGCGGCCAGGGAAGAGCGGUUAUGGCCAGGGAAGCGGCCAGGGCCAGGGGUAGCGGCCAGGGAAGCGGCCAGGGAAGCGGUUAUGG